RNAcentral lists this ribosomal RNA (378 nucleotides) under Bradyrhizobium sp. UFLA05-17. RNAcentral describes it as "bacterial SSU rRNA". It matches the Rfam family "Bacterial small subunit ribosomal RNA", at positions 159 to 571 of the family's 1533-position model. The record is from RNAcentral. Lineage: Bacteria; Pseudomonadati; Pseudomonadota; Alphaproteobacteria; Hyphomicrobiales; Nitrobacteraceae.
UCAGCUAAUACCGGAUAAGCCCUUACGGGGAAAGAUUUAUCGCCGAAAGAUCGGCCCGCGUCUGAUUAGCUAGUUGGUGAGGUAAUGGCUCACCAAGGCGACGAUCAGUAGCUGGUCUGAGAGGAUGAUCAGCCACAUUGGGACUGAGACACGGCCCAAACUCCUACGGGAGGCAGCAGUGGGGAAUAUUGGACAAUGGGCGCAAGCCUGAUCCAGCCAUGCCGCGUGAGUGAUGAAGGCCCUAGGGUUGUAAAGCUCUUUUGUGCGGGAAGAUAAUGACGGUACCGCAAGAAUAAGCCCCGGCUAACUUCGUGCCAGCAGCCGCGGUAAUACGAAGGGGGCUAGCGUUGCUCGGAAUCACUGGGCGUAAAGGGUGCG